UCCCUGGUGGCUCAGACGGUAAAGAAUCUGCCUGCUGUGCAGGAGACCAGGGUUCGAUCCCUGGUUUGGGAA
This 72-nucleotide transfer RNA is filed under the name Ovis aries (sheep). It matches the Rfam family "tRNA". Rfam says of the family: Transfer RNA (tRNA) molecules are approximately 80 nucleotides in length. Their secondary structure includes four short double-helical elements and three loops (D, anti-codon, and T loops). The record is from Rfam by way of RNAcentral. Lineage: Eukaryota; Metazoa; Chordata; Mammalia; Artiodactyla; Bovidae.